This 273-nucleotide ribosomal RNA is filed under the name uncultured bacterium. RNAcentral's name for it is "partial 16S ribosomal RNA". It matches the Rfam family "Bacterial small subunit ribosomal RNA", at positions 524 to 796 of the family's 1533-position model. The record is from RNAcentral.
UACGGGGGGGGCAAGCGUUGUUCGGAAUUACUGGGCGUAAAGGGCUCGUAGGCGGCCGACUAAGUCAGACGUGAAAUCCCCAGGCUCAACCUGGGAACUGCGUCUGAUACUGGUUGGCUUGAAUUCGGGAGAGGGAUGCAGAAUUCCAGGUGUAGCGGUGAAAUGCGUAGAUAUCUGGAGGAAUACCGGUGGCGAAGGCGGCAUCCUGGACCGACAUUGACGCUGAGGAGCGAAAGCUAGGGGAGCAAACGGGAUUAGAAACCCUCGUAGUCC